This 140-nucleotide long non-coding RNA is filed under the name Cyanistes caeruleus (blue tit). RNAcentral describes it as "lncRNA (ENSCCEG00000009307.1)". Lineage: Eukaryota; Metazoa; Chordata; Aves; Passeriformes; Paridae. The record is from RNAcentral.
GUGAACCAUGCUGAUAAAAGAAGAAUUGACCCAAACUACUCAACCUCAGUCUAAUGAGAUCAAAAGACAUCAGCAGCUAGAGCUGGUAGCUACUUCUCAUAGACGGGAUUCUUUUCUCCUUUACAUCCUCUUUCAAGGUG